This 1374-nucleotide unclassified non-coding RNA is filed under the name Cladophialophora sp. KO-groupF 2014. RNAcentral's name for it is "partial contains ITS1, 5.8S rRNA, ITS2 and LSU". The stretch from base 566 to 1374 matches the Rfam family "Eukaryotic large subunit ribosomal RNA", at positions 1 to 825 of the family's 3401-position model. The record is from RNAcentral. Lineage: Eukaryota; Fungi; Ascomycota; Eurotiomycetes; Chaetothyriales; Herpotrichiellaceae.
UCCGUAGGUGAACCUGCGGAAGGAUCAUUACCGAGUUAGGGUCUACCUCUAGGCCCGACCUCCUUACCUCUGUUUACCUGACCUCACGUUGCUUCGGCGGGCCCGUCCCCUUAACCAGGCGACCGCCGGAAGGGCUCACCCCUUCUGGCCCGUUGCCCGCCGAUGGCCCUCAACCAAAACACUUUUAAACUGUGGAAUUUUAGUCUGAAUCUUGUUUCUAAAAUAACCAAAAACUUUCAACAACGGAUCUCUUGGUUCUGGCAUCGAUGAAGAACGCAGCGAAAUGCGAUAAGUAAUGCGAAUUGCAGAGCCCGUGAGUCAUCGAAUCUUUGAACGCAUAUUGCGCCCCUUGGCAUUCCGAGGGGCAUGCCUGUUCGAGCGUCAUUAUCACCCCUCAAGCCCCCGGCUUGGUGUUGGACUCAGUCGUCGCUCGCCCGGUGACUGGUCUCGAAGACAGUGACGCCGUCCCAGAGGGAACCGGUACGAGGAGCUUUCUUAAUCGAAGCAUGUGCCGGGAAGACUUUCGCGGGCGGUGGUCUCUUACACCCACAAAUUUUUCAAGUGUUGACCUCGGAUCAGGUAGGAAUACCCGCUGAACUUAAGCAUAUCAAUAAGCGGAGGAAAAGAAACCAACAGGGAUUGCCUCAGUAACGGCGAGUGAAGCGGCAAAAGCUCAAAUUUGAAAUCUGGCUUCUUUGGAGCCCGAGUUGUAAUUUGUAGAGGACGUUUCGGGUACCGCAACGGCUUAAAUUUCUUGGAACAGAAUGUCAGAGAGGGUGAGAGUCCCGUCUGGAGCCGCGGUAGGGCCCAUGUGAAACUCCCUCGACGAGUCGAGUUGUUUGGGAAUGCAGCUCAAAAUGGGUGGUAAAUUUCAUCUAAAGCUAAAUAUUGGCCAGAGACCGAUAGCGCACAAGUAGAGUGAUCGAAAGAUGAAAAGAACUUUGAAAAGAGAGUUAAACAGUACGUGAAAUUGUUGAAAGGGAAGCGCUGGCAACCAGACUCGCGCGCGGCGGUUCCCCCUCGCUUCUGCUUGGGUUACUCCGUCGUGUCCGGGCCAACAUCGGUUUGGGCGGCCGGUUAAAGGCCCCGGGAAUGUAUCUUCUCCCCGUGGGAAGACUUAUAGCCCGGGGUGUCAUGCGGCCCGCCUGGACCGAGGAACGCGCUUCGUGCUCGGAUGUUGGCGUAAUGGUUGUCAGCGACCCGUCUUGAAACACGGACCAAGGAGUCUAACAUCUAUGCGAGUGUUAGGGUGUCAAACCCUUGCGCGGAAUGAAAGUGAACGGAGGUAGGAAGCCCUGAGGCUGCACUAUCGACCGAUCCUGAAGUUUACGGAUGGAUUUGAGUAAGAGCAUAGCUGUUGGGACCCGAAAGAUG